This 428-nucleotide ribosomal RNA is filed under the name uncultured bacterium. RNAcentral describes it as "partial 16S ribosomal RNA". It matches the Rfam family "Bacterial small subunit ribosomal RNA", at positions 354 to 796 of the family's 1533-position model. The record is from RNAcentral.
GUGGGGAAUAUUGGGCAAUGGGCGCAAGCCUGACCCAGCAACGCCGCGUGAGGGAAGAAGGCUUUCGGGUUGUAAACCUCUGUCCUUGGUGACGAAACAAAUGACGGUAGCCAAGGAGGAAGCCCCGGCUAACUACGUGCCAGCAGCCGCGGUAAUACGUAGGGGGCGAGCGUUGUCCGGAAUUACUGGGCGUAAAGGGUGCGUAGGUGGCCUUUUAAGUUGGAUGUGAAAUACCCGGGCUUAACUUGGGGGGUGCAUCCAAAACUGGGAGGAUAGAGUGCAGGAGAGGAAAGCGGAAUUCCUAGUGUAGCGGUGAAAUGCGUAGAUAUUAGGAGGAACACCAGUGGCGAAGGCGGCUUUCUGGACUGUAACUGACACUGAGGCACGAAAGCGUGGGGAGCAAACAGGAUUAGAUACCCCAGUAGUCC